Molecule: ribosomal RNA, 429 nt
Filed under: Chloroflexota bacterium
Lineage: Bacteria; Bacillati; Chloroflexota
Description: Chloroflexi bacterium partial 16S ribosomal RNA
Rfam family: Bacterial small subunit ribosomal RNA
Source: RNAcentral
UAGGGAAUCUUCGGCAAUGGACGAAAGUCUGACCGAGCAACGCCGCGUGAGUGAAGAAGGUUUUCGGAUCGUAAAACUCUGUUGUUAGAGAAGAACAAGGACGUUAGUAACUGAACGUCCCCUGACGGUAUCUAACCAGAAAGCCACGGCUAACUACGUGCCAGCAGCCGCGGUAAUACGUAGGUGGCAAGCGUUGUCCGGAUUUAUUGGGCGUAAAGCGCACGCAGGCGGUUUGUUAAGUCAGAUGUGAAAUCCCCGGGCUCAACCUGGGAACUGCAUCUGAUACUGGCAAGCUUGAGUCUCGUAGAGGGGGGUAGAAUUCCAGGUGUAGCGGUGAAAUGCGUAGAGAUCUGGAGGAAUACCGGUGGCGAAGGCGGCCCCCUGGACGAAGACUGACGCUCAGGUGCGAAAGCGUGGGGAGCAAACAGG